GCGCCCGUAGCUCAACGGAUAGAGCGCCGGACUACGAAUCCGUAGGUUGGGCGUUCGAAUCGCCCCGGGCGCG
RNAcentral lists this transfer RNA (73 nucleotides) under bacterium. RNAcentral's name for it is "tRNA-Arg". It matches the Rfam family "tRNA". Rfam says of the family: Transfer RNA (tRNA) molecules are approximately 80 nucleotides in length. Their secondary structure includes four short double-helical elements and three loops (D, anti-codon, and T loops). The record is from RNAcentral. RNAcentral also lists the same sequence under 2 other names.